This 468-nucleotide ribosomal RNA is filed under the name uncultured bacterium. Its description in RNAcentral is "partial 16S ribosomal RNA". It matches the Rfam family "Bacterial small subunit ribosomal RNA", at positions 28 to 507 of the family's 1533-position model. The record is from RNAcentral.
GACGAACGCUGGCGGCGUGCCUAACACAUGCAAGUCGAACGGAAGGGCCCUGCUUUCUUGCGGUGCCGGAUUGCGGAUCGGGUGAGUAACAGGUAUACAACUUGCUCUUGUUUUUGGUAUACCUUCACGAAAUUGGGCUUAAUCCCGGAUCGCAUCCCCUCUCCCAUGGAGGGGGUUGGAACGUUCCGGCGGUUGGGGAUGGAUUCGCGGCUUACUAGCUAGUUGGUGGGGUAGUGGCUUACCAAGGCGUUGACGGGUAGCCGGCCUGAGAGGGUGACCGGCCACAUUGGGACUGAGAGACGGCGCAGACUCCUACGGGAGGCAGCAGGGGGGAAUAUGACACAAUGAGCGGAAGCCUGAUGCAGCAACGCCGCGUGCGGGAUGACGGCCUUCGGGUUGUAAACCGCAUUCGCCUAUGACGAAGCGUGAGUGACGGUAAUGGGUAAAGAAGCACCGGCUAACUACGUG